This 555-nucleotide ribosomal RNA is filed under the name uncultured archaeon. Its description in RNAcentral is "bacterial SSU rRNA". It matches the Rfam family "Archaeal small subunit ribosomal RNA", at positions 321 to 879 of the family's 1478-position model. The record is from RNAcentral.
CCCUACGGGGUGCAGCAGGCGCGAAACCUCUACAAUGCACGAAAGUGUGAUAGGGGAAUCCUGAGUGCUUAACUUUGUUAGGCUUUUUCUAAAGGUAAAUACUUUGGAGAAUAAGUGGUGGGUAAGACUGGUGCCAGCAGCCGCGGUAACACCAGCGCCACGAGUGGCGAUCGGCAUUAUUGGGUCUAAAGCGUCCGUAGCCUGUUCAGUAAGUCUCUUGUGAAAUUGUUGGGCUCAACUCAACAACGUGCAGGAGAUACUGCAGGACUUGAGACCAGGAGGAGUCAGAGGUAUUCCAUGGGGAGCGGUAAAAUGCUAUAAUCCAUGGAGGACCACCGGUGGCGAAGGCGUCUGUCUAGAAUGGAUCUGUCGGUGAGGGACGAAAGCCAGGGGAGCGAUCCGGAUUAGAUACCCGAGUAGUCCUGGCCCUAAACGCUGCGAGCUAGGUGUUGCAUAUUCUCCGUGAAUAUGCAGUGUCGAAGCGAAGGUGUUAAGCUCGCCACCUGGGAAGUAUAGUCGCAAGGCCGAAACUUAAAGGAAUUGGCGGGGGAGCAC